GAUGAACGCUAGCGGGAGGCUUAACACAUGCAAGUCGAGGGGUAUAGUAGCAAUACUAGAGACCGGCGCACGGGUGAGUAACGCGUAUGCAACCUGCCCUUACAGGAGGAUAGCCCGCUGAAAGGCGGAUUAAUACUCCAUAAGAUGGUACUGCCGCAUGGCAGAGCCAUAAAAGCUGAGGCGGUAAAGGAUGGGCAUGCGUGACAUUAGCUAGUUGGCGGGGUAACGGCCCACCAAGGCUACGAUGUCUAGGGGUUUUGAGAGGAAGGUCCCCCACACUGGUACUGAGACACGGACCAGACUCCUACGGGAGGCAGCAGUGAGGAAUAUUGGUCAAUGGGCGCGAGCCUGAACCAGCCAUCCCGCGUGCAGGAAGACGGCCCUAUGGGUUGUAAAUCUGUGUACGUG
RNAcentral lists this ribosomal RNA (408 nucleotides) under uncultured bacterium. RNAcentral's name for it is "bacterial SSU rRNA". It matches the Rfam family "Bacterial small subunit ribosomal RNA", at positions 28 to 440 of the family's 1533-position model. The record is from RNAcentral.